UUGACGGGACCCGCACAAGCGGCGGAGCAUGCGGAUUAAUUCGAUGCAACGCGAAGAACCUUACCAAGGCUUGACAUAUAGAGGAAACGUCUGGAAACAGUCGCCCCGCAAGGUCUCUAUACAGGUGGUGCAUGGUUGUCGUCAGCUCGUGUCGUGAGAUGUUGGGUUAAGUCCCGCAACGAGCGCAACCCUCGUUCUAUGUUGCCAGCACGUAAUGGUGGGAACUCAUGGGAUACUGCCGGGGUCAACUCGGAGGAAGGUGGGGAUGACGUCAAAUCAUCAUGCCCCUUAUGUCUUGGGCUUCACGCAUGCUACAAUGGCCGGUACAAAGGGCUGCAAUACCGUAAGGUGGAGCGAAUCCCAAAAAGCCGGUCCCAGUUCGGAUUGAGGUCUGCAACUCGACCUCAUGAAGUCGGAGUCGCUAGUAAUCGCAGAUCAGCAACGCUGCGGUGAAUACGUUCCCGGGUCUU
Molecule: ribosomal RNA, 470 nt
Filed under: uncultured Microbacterium sp.
Lineage: Bacteria; Bacillati; Actinomycetota; Actinomycetes; Micrococcales; Microbacteriaceae
Description: bacterial SSU rRNA
Rfam family: Bacterial small subunit ribosomal RNA
Source: RNAcentral